UGCUCGUGAGUCCAUCUGCAGAUGCUUUAGUUAUUAAUGUAUGCCUUUUUAUUAAAUUCACUUAAAGACAAGUUGUUACCUUGGUUUGUGUCUUGUUUUAACAGAAACUGCCACCGCAAUUUGGCAUUGUCGGCAGGAUCACUCGUGUGAGCGGGACCGCUGGAACUCUGUGCGAGGGUAAAGACCGUGCACGGCUGGAGUCCGGGACUCUAACCUCAACCUCCCCAUAAAAGGGUGUAGAAGUGGGGGCCUGACGCCGGAGGACCAAGUCUCGCUCACCGCUGUGAUCCAAAGAACCAGGUGGCAAAGAAAAAAAAAAAAAAAACAACUCUGUCUUUCUGUGUCUCAAACUAGAUCCUGAUCUGGACUCGACCCCGCAACGACAACAGCCGGCCCGGGCAGUGCUGCCCAGCGCUCCAUCUCCACCUCUACCUCCACCAGUGGAAGGAGCCAUGAUGGAGGAAGAGGGCCCAAGAAGCUCAGCAACCAAGCCUCCACCAUACACUGCCCCUCGCACACCAUAACUGGACUUUGCAACGGUGUAAAAACUGCCACCACUAUUUGAGAAUGGACAUUGGCAAAAUCUCACUGUGCAAGCAGAGAGACUAUGAGACUGUGUCUGCGUACCUUAUCAGACUCACAGAGGUUCACAACACACAGUGGCCUCCUACGACCAGCUGCCAUGAGGGAAAACAACGAGGUCGGUCCCUGGGAAGCUCAUCUUCGGGACCGCUUCAUCAAUGAGACCAGAGAUCAGUGAGAUGAUAAAACGCAAUUGCAUCACUUGGGAAUGCGGAAACCUUGAGACUGUCGAGAAUCACGGCAUGGCAGAAGUGGUGGAGGCAGGUGGAGAUCUGACGCCUGCUUCAGAUGUGGAAAGACAGGACACUGGGCAAGGAAUUGCCCUGAGAACCAGGACACACAGGCUGAUUGACUAGCGGAGGGGUCGAGGACAGUGAAGGAUUCAUCUAGCUUUGACACGGAGACGGGAAACAGUGACCUAUCUGCACAUCAGACACGUAAGAACACAGACACACAACUCAUGAUUUCACAAGCAAUUGAAUAUCUUGAAUCUGUACAGGAAACU
Sebastes umbrosus (honeycomb rockfish) is the source of this 1087-nucleotide long non-coding RNA. RefSeq lists it as uncharacterized. The record is from RefSeq and is a predicted model, not a curated record. Lineage: Eukaryota; Metazoa; Chordata; Actinopteri; Perciformes; Sebastidae. The transcript is spliced from 2 exons.